UCUGCGUUGGCCGACGCCCUGGGCAGCGGCCUGGUCGAGAGCCACGUUGAACCGGGCGUGGACGUUUGGGUUCGGGUCACCGCCGAGUCGUGGGUC
Molecule: transfer RNA, 96 nt
Filed under: Acidimicrobiales bacterium
Lineage: Bacteria; Bacillati; Actinomycetota; Acidimicrobiia; Acidimicrobiales
Description: tRNA-Leu
Source: RNAcentral